UACGUAGGGUGCGAGCGUUAAUCGGAAUUACUGGGCGUAAAGCGUGCGCAGGCGGUUUUGUAAGCCCGAUGUGAAAUCCCCGGGCUUAACCUGGGAAUGGCAUUUGGGACUGCAAGGCUUGAGUGCGGCAGAGGAGACUGGAAUUCCUAGUGUAGCAGUGAAAUGCGUAGAUAUCAGGAGGGACACCGAUGGCGAAGGCAGGUCUCUGGGCUGACACUGACGCUCAUGCACGAAAGCGUGGGGAGCAAACAGG
This 253-nucleotide ribosomal RNA is filed under the name uncultured bacterium. RNAcentral describes it as "partial 16S ribosomal RNA". It matches the Rfam family "Bacterial small subunit ribosomal RNA", at positions 524 to 776 of the family's 1533-position model. The record is from RNAcentral.